RNAcentral lists this ribosomal RNA (200 nucleotides) under uncultured bacterium. Its description in RNAcentral is "partial 16S ribosomal RNA". It matches the Rfam family "Bacterial small subunit ribosomal RNA", at positions 28 to 222 of the family's 1533-position model. The record is from RNAcentral.
GAUGAACGCUGGCGGCGUGCCUAAUACAUGCAAGUCGAGCGAACUGAUUAGAAGCUUGCUUCUAUGACGUUAGCGGCGGACGGGUGAGUAACACGUGGGCAACCUGCCUGUAAGGCUGGGAUAACUUCGGGAAACCGAAGCUAAUACCGGAUAGGAUCUUCUCCUUCAUGGGAGAUGAUUGAAAGAUGGUUUCGGCUAUC